GAUCCUACGGGAGGCAGCAGUAGGGAAUAUUGGUCAAUGGACGAAAGUCUGAACCAGCCAUGCCGCGUGCAGGAGGAAGGCGCUCUGCGUUGUAAACUGCUUUUGUACGGGAAGAAUACUCCGUUUGCGAACGGAUUUGACGGUACCGUAAGAAUAAGGAUCGGCUAACUACGUGCCAGCAGCCGCGGUAAUACGUAGGAUCCAAGCGUUGUCCGGAUUUAUUGGGUUUAAAGGGUGCGCAGGCGGCCUGAUAAGUCAGUGGUGAAAGCCCGUUGCUUAACAACGGAAUUGCCAUUGAUACUGUCGGGCUUGAGUACAGUUGAGGUUGGCGGAAUGUAUCAUGUAGCGGUGAAAUGCUUAGAUAUGAUACAGAACACCGAUUGCGAAGGCAGCUGACUAAGCUGUUACUGACGCUCAGGCACGAAAGCGUGGGGAUCAAACAGGAUUAGAUACCCUGGUAGUCCACGCUGUAAACGUUGAUAACUCGAUGUUGGCGAUAUACAGUCAGCGUCUUAGCGAAAGCGUUAAGUUAUCCACCUGGGGAGUACGCCGGCAACGGUGAAACUCAAAGGAAUUGACGGAAUC
RNAcentral lists this ribosomal RNA (585 nucleotides) under uncultured bacterium. RNAcentral describes it as "bacterial SSU rRNA". It matches the Rfam family "Bacterial small subunit ribosomal RNA", at positions 335 to 920 of the family's 1533-position model. The record is from RNAcentral.